CGCCGACUGGAGGUUCUGUAAAUUGCGAUAGCGAUACCGCAGACAUUGGAACGAAAUGUGACUUCGUUUGCAAACCAGACUCUCAGCUCGAAGGACCCGAGGACGCAGUCUGUGAAGAAGAUGGAAAGGGAGGUGCAAGAUGGAGCCAAGAAGCCAAGAAAUGUGUCAAAAAAUGCAAAAAGCCUCCUCCGCCAAACUACGGUACCGUAAAAUGCAGUAACUUGGACAACAAACUAAUCGUCGGUUCAUCUUGCACAUUCAAAUGCAACGAAGGAUAUCAAGUUGUUGGGAAAACAGAAACCGAGUGCGAAAGAGACGGAACAUGGUCAGAAAAGGCACCAAAAUGCGAACCUCUUUGCAAGCCACACCCACCACCAGGACCAAUCAAUGGCGAAGUUGAAUGCAACAACGAAAAAGCAAUAAUCGGAACUCGUUGUGAUUUUGCUUGUAAGGUUGGAUACUCGCUCCAGGGAUCAGAGAAAACAAUCUGCA
Molecule: non-coding RNA, 492 nt
Organism: Styela clava
Lineage: Eukaryota; Metazoa; Chordata; Ascidiacea; Stolidobranchia; Styelidae
Source: RefSeq, a predicted model, not a curated record